Molecule: ribosomal RNA, 441 nt
Filed under: uncultured bacterium
Lineage: Bacteria
Description: partial 16S ribosomal RNA
Rfam family: Bacterial small subunit ribosomal RNA
Source: RNAcentral
CUACGGGCCGCUCCAGUGAGGAAUCUUGGACAAUGGGCGAAAGCCUGAUCCAGCGACGCCGCGUGGGUGACGAAGGCCUUCGGGUUGUAAAGCCCUGUCAGAGGGGAAGAAGUUCUGACGGUACCCUCAGAGGAAGCACAGGCUAACUCCGUGCCAGCAGCCGCGGUAAUACGGAGUGUGCAAGCGUUGCUCGGAAUCACUGGGCGUAAAGGGCGCGUAGGCGGCUUGGUAAGUUGGAUGUGAAAGCCCUCGGCUCAACCGAGGAACUGCAUCCAAAACUGCCUGGCUAGAGUACGGAAGAGGAAGGCGGAAUUCCCAGUGUAGGGGUGAAAUCCGUAGAUAUUGGGAAGAACACCAGUGGCGAAGGCGGCCUUCUGGGACGAUACUGACGCUGAGGCGCGAAAGCGUGGGGAGCAAACAGGAUUAGAUACCCCCGUAGUC